This 525-nucleotide long non-coding RNA is filed under the name Eucalyptus grandis. RNAcentral's name for it is "long non-coding RNA (EGRA_LNC002256)". Lineage: Eukaryota; Viridiplantae; Streptophyta; Magnoliopsida; Myrtales; Myrtaceae. The record is from RNAcentral.
GAGAUGAUCUGUGUAAAUACUGAUCAAAACAAUUAUACACGAGCUUCGGAUACAGCGAAGGCAGUGGCUGUUUUACCAGAAGCGCCUCAAGGGCAUUUUAUCAAACACCUAGGGUGCGUCGGCUCAAGACCGCCAUGGACAAGAAUAAGACUCGAAACUAGAUCAAAGCUUAACGAGAAUGGCAGGGAAUGCUCAACAUCAACAAAUCACAGCAUAAGCGAACUUGAAACGCACGCCCCGGCUCAGUAAUCCAUGCAAAAAAUGUGAGAGAACAGGACAAGAGCAGGGCACCAAAAAAAAGUCGGCGGGGCGAUUCCAGGUCUCCCUCUUCCCGGUCACUCUCCGUUUCUCCCCCUCAGGCUCCCUCAAGCUCUCCCCUUCACUUGCUCCUCUCUCGCUUUUAAGCAUUGACGCGCAUGGUCUUCUGCCAAGCCAGCUGUUGCUGCCUGUCUGCCCCCCGACCACCAACUCCGGUGCGAGGCUCAUGCCUGCCCCUUUCUGCCUCUGUCCCUCCUCUUGCUCGCG